This is a long non-coding RNA of Dreissena polymorpha, 221 nucleotides long. RefSeq lists it as uncharacterized. The record is from RefSeq and is a predicted model, not a curated record. Lineage: Eukaryota; Metazoa; Mollusca; Bivalvia; Myida; Dreissenidae. The transcript is spliced from 5 exons.
GGACGUUAAAAAAUGGCCCAAGUAACAAGUCUACUGACUGUCUCGGGUCAAACGGUCUUGCCCAACACGAAUGCUCUGAUCCUGUGAACACUCGUAACGCAACAGAUGCCGAGAUAUACUAUGGGAUUCCACCUCAACAGCUGACGACGGAUAACUACACCUACAGUGUAGUUAACAAAUGUAGAAAAGCAGGUGGAUUGGCAAAAGAGCAUCCGAUGUAA